UACGUAGGGUGCGAGCGUUGUCCGGAAUUACUGGGCGUAAAGAGCUCGUAGGCGGUCUGUCGCGUCGGCUGUGAAAUCCCGAGGCUCAACCUCGGGUCUGCAGUCGAUACGGGCAAACUAGAGUAUUGCAGGGGAGACUGGAAUUCCUGGUGUAGCGGUGAAAUGCGCAGAUAUCAGGAGGAACACCGGUGGCGAAGGCGGGUCUCUGGGCAAUAACUGACGCUGAGGAGCGAAAGCGUGGGGAGCGAACAGG
Molecule: ribosomal RNA, 253 nt
Filed under: uncultured bacterium
Lineage: Bacteria
Description: partial 16S ribosomal RNA
Rfam family: Bacterial small subunit ribosomal RNA
Source: RNAcentral